CGUCGUGCGUGCCUGCGAGCAGAGGGAAAAGGGCACCCGUCUCCUCCCCCAAUCCCCUCCUCCUCGGCCGCCGCCACCGCUGCUCGUUUGGCUGGCCGCCAACCUCCUCUUCGCCCCUGCUUCUCGCCGCCGGCGACUGCGGCCACCGCUGUAUCGUGCGGGUAUCCCUAAUCCCCGUGCGUGGGUGCUCCUCCCCAUCCCCUCGUUCUCCUCCUCUCCCAAUCUGGUCACUUCUCUCCUCUCCAGCAAUCCCCUUCCUCCAUUUCAUCUCCGGUGAGCUGCCGUCCCUCGCGUCCUCCCUCUCCGGGUCAUCAAGGCCAAGGAUGAGAGCGAGAUCCUCAUGGUAGGCAAGCUGGUGCUGCAGCUCGGCUCUAGCAUGGCCGCGCUUUCUACAGAGUUCGUCGGCUCCGGCGAGGCAUGGAGGUGGGCGUCGGGCGUGGCCGUCCUCAGCGGUGCGCUGGCCGCGCCGGUGAACACGAUGGAGCACGAGUUUUCUUCCCUCUUGCGAAAUCUUGAGCUAGGGUUUGUGGGGGCAGCAGAUUCCUGAGUCCACGCCAUGAAAUCGAGAGCAGGAGGUGGUGCCUUCUGGUCAUUGUCUUCCUGGAGAUUACCGCCUUGGACCUGCAUCUCGUGGUACUGCUGUAGCACCAAUGCUACAAGAUGUGAGGGCCUUUCUCUAAAAUCAUGAGGGCAACACUCGGUUAAGCUAUCCACACAGGUUUAAUUUUGCAACAUUGACUUUCCUCAAAAUAUGUUUUGUUGUUUUGGUGGUGAGCAGACUAAAUGUAGUACUCCAUUUUGAUGAAUUGAUGUUACCAUACUUUUGAGCAGCAAAAAUUCUAUCGCUUAUCCUGAUGGAUUUCUUGAACGAGUUGUUGUUACUUGUAGCUUGUUACAAAAUACAGAUCUGAAUCUGACCAAAAUAUGACCUUUUUCUUAAGUUUCCUAAUGUGUUUUUAGGAAUCAAAACACUUGUUCUGUAAAAGGAUAACAUCUCCCUUUACUUUUACUAUUGCGUAUGCUUCUUUUUCUUGCUGGAUCGAGCAAGCACAGUAAGAAAAGAAGUUGUAUCAAAUGCAUUCUGCACUAGCAGGUUCAUAUGUCUGACAUGCUUUUUUUUCAUUAGAACUUGCAAGUGGACAUCGAAAAGUGAAAUAUUCCUAAUAACUUAGAACAUAUGUGUUGCUUUGUGGUUAAUUGCUUUUCUUAAUGGUUAUUUGAGUUAAGUGUAGAGUUUAGAAAUGAGUUGAACCAUAUUACUUCAGAGAAGAGAUUAUGCAACUGCAUAGCUGUAGUAGUUGUACUACUUUUGAAACAAUACAAUUCGAUGUACAUUAUACCCAGGUCCAGGAAAUUUCUCAAGUCAAGUACUAUUACUAUGUGCAUUUAGCAACAACAAAAUCAUUGAUUUAAAUAUUCAUAAAUAAAGUAUCACUGUUUGCCAAACCUUCGCUUAUGUAAAGCCCAGGUUAUGUAGGACUGUAUCUGUAUGGUUAGCUGCACAAGCACCUUCGUGUAAAGUUCCUUUGAUUUUCUCACGUUCAUUUUUUCCAGGUAGUCCAUUGACAACCCAUCCACGCCAUCGUCCUCGCCUCACAAUUUUCAUUUGUUAUGCAUAGAGAACUUUUCAAGGUUGUAUUUUUCUUUCGCAACUUUGCUGUGUUUUGAAAUGUGCAGAUUUCAGUCUCGAUGAUUAUUUGGCUGAACAUGACACCAAUUCCCAAGCAAUAGAGAUGGUGUGACAGUAGGAUAAUGUACCUGUCCUUUUUUUGUUCAUAUUGUUUACCGAUACAAUUAUGGUAUGCGUAUGUAACGACCAAUCUCAGAAAUAAGUAGAGUUAGGGCGAUUGAGGAAAUAUGAUGGAAAAUUAUAAUUACAUGGUCAUCCCAAAUAGGGAUGAUUGAAUAGAAAAUCUAUAUCGUUAUUAGUUCAUGAAAGUACGCAUAAUGUGAUAACUUGGAUGUUUAUGUUCAAGAGAAGGUGCUCUGUUUGGUAGCUAUUUAUCUCAUUUUGGCUGCUUGUUUUCAACUUGAUUUUAAGGUAUUAGUUCUUCAGUUACCGUUAAAUUUUCUUUUGAUAUUGGUUCAUAUUACUGAGUAAUAAAUAUUCAAGUAAGAACAUUAUAAUUUCAUGUACCAUCAGUAACCUCUUACGACAUACUCCUAUGUGAUAUGAAUUGAUAAUUUCCUGUUGCAUGAACAUUGUCCAUUAUGGUGUCUCCUGUAAUAUGCUUUGUUUCUCUGUAUGUAAGUUUGUCAAGAGAUCGGGUAAAUAUAGGUCCUCAUGCAAAACCUUAAUUUGUAAACUAUUGAUCCCUUUUCUCGUGAACCAUUUCUUUCCUAAACUUUAACAUGUCUCCCUUAUAUUUGUGAUAUUUAAAAAAUAGAAGGGAAUCAUCCAACAUAUAUUCUUUCUGAUCUUGGUUCUUUAUUUGCAUCCAUAUUUAUUGAAACGUGUCUACAUAUUUACUAAUUCAUAGGAAUGCAGAAAAUAUAACAUGUGUAUUAAGUCCUGCUAGCUACAGUCUCUGGCUCAGAGGAGGUCUUCUGAUAGCAUUUUCGGUGACGAGCAUUCUUUUGGACUUUUUAGAAGCAAUUCUUAGGCGACGAGCAUGUUGAAUCUACAUAGAUUGUUUUCAGGGUCAUACACUCUUCCAAAAGGUCUGUUGGUUGAUACAGUCAUAUGUCAUUUUGCCUUUAAUAAUCAAAAUUGGUGUCUCAUUCUCAAACUUCUCUUUGUUCAACCACUUAAAGAAUUCUUUGAUGGCUUCUGUGACAACAUUUUGAAGAAAAGCUGCAUUUAAAAGCUCAGUGAUGAAGCCAUUGAAGAUGCCCUUGAGAAGGUUCAACACUACCUUUUGUUUUACUGAUACUAUAAAUUUAUAGAAUAAGGAACUCAGGUUUGACACACAAGGUGUGGAACCGUGAGAAGAUCAUCAUCAUCCCCGGCCACUCAUCUUCACCAGCGACGAGCGGGCGAACCGAUAACUGGGGACUUCUGCAACGAGUGGAAGAUUAGGAAAAUUCACAAUAGAGAGGUGUUUGCCAGAUUGUGCCCGCUCAAGAAGGCCCGCUGCUGACUAGACGAGGUAUUCUACUGACCGCUUGUGGUUUAGUGGUUUAGCAGUAUUGUCUUAACCUGCUCUAAUACUUGUAUAUGUUCUCCUUGGUACUGAUUUUCACACGUGCAAUGCUGGAGCUUUUGGUCAAUUUGCAACUGGAAUUGAAAAUACUAAUGCAGGUUUGAUAUUGGGACUAGAAAGGUUCUUCUCAAGGUAUGCAAACAAGUUUAGGUACUCCCAGAUAUAAUUGACAUAGUCUUAAAUGAUAAAGUAAAAAGAUGUAUCUUUCUUUUAGAUGUUAUUUUCCAUCUUACUGUUAUUUUCCAUCUUACUGCUAGCACAGUUUCCUACUGUGUAUUAAUAUAAUUUAGUUAGCUUUCUGAUAGUUCAUUAGAAUAGCCAGUCUUGCAUUUUUGUGACUACUUACAGUAGUUUCUUUGGAUCGUCUUCUUGGCUGCACCAAGCCUUUUAAGUUUAUAAAAAUUAAAAUCCCCAUUUUACAUGUCUAAAAUGAAAAACAUGUGGCUUUUGCCACUGAGUGAAAUUGCUAUUUUUUUCUUGAAAACGCAAUUUCAUUUCAUUGAAAAGAUAGAGUUUACAAUCCUCCGAGUAGUUCUGCCAUCAACCUGGGAUGUCCACUAAAUACAUGUAACUCUGUUGUAAAUUGCUAUUUUUGUACUGUCAUAUUUUACAUAGUCUGUAUAUUUUUCUGUACACAUAGCUUCCUGUCUAGCAAAAUGUCUAGGCAGCCAGGGUUCAGAGACUCACCACCUAUCUUAAUAAUAGGGGUUCCUCCCCAUGUUAGUUUGUUUUUGGUCUUUCGAAAAAAAGAAGUCAGUCAUGAGCAAGUGCUUGAUAAAAGAUAGGUUGUCGUUCAGGUGUGUUUAUGUACUAUCAUACCUAUGGUCUGGUUUGGUUGUAAGAAGCAGCUCCGCAAUUAGUUAAUAUAAGCCGUUCCUCAAUAGGUUCUUAGUUCCUAGAAAAUUUGGCUUUACAAUUUUGCUAGCAAAUGAUACGUGUGAGUUGCAAAAAUAACACAUUCAUUUCUUAUUUAGUGUGUGAACUCAAGGGAGAUGACCAUAGAAAGAUAGAGCGGCUAUUUAUGAAUAUAAUUUGGCUGACUAAAAUUCAACUUGCUUUGUAGUUACUUUGGUUCCACAUAUAUUUACAUUUUAGCCUACUUUGUCCAGUGGCUCAAAGUAGACCCAUGUCCCUCUUUCCAAUAACUUUUUUUGUUAAUAGAGUGAGCUACAACAUUUAGUUUGUGCGUAGUUUUUAGUGAGCAGUGCUUUUGUUUACACAAUUUGUACUCUUUUCUAUAUGGCAUUUAAGUCUUUCCUUGGCCCUGCACCGCCUCACGUGGCAUUGUGUUCGGCCAUAUAUGUUCACCCGAGUUUUAAAUGAGGUAUGUCAUGUUGCUUCUCUUUGUCUGUUCAUGCAAAGUUCAGUAUUCCUGUUCCUAGAAUAAUCUAUGGAUAAGAAAGAUAGAAAGUAUUAUAGCAACCAUUUUCACCAACAUUAACUCAGAGUUCCUUCUUAGUCACUGAAGGAUCAGACUGUAAAAUCGGUGAGAAAAUUUACAGAUUAUCAUGGUUUGCAAGAAGCAUUAAAAAUUGCUAAAGACUUGAAGCGUUUAUUUAAAUAAAUAAUCCAUAUAAAUAGAUUCAUCAUUUUAUCUUUGCAUAUAGAUAGAUGCAUCAUUUUAUCUUUGGUUAGGUUUGAAGCAUUUAUUUUUGUAGUAUUUUAUUUUCUUAUUCCAGAAAAAUAAUUCAUCGUACUUGAUUCUCUACAACCCUGUCUAUCUUCUUAGUCCGGAAGAAAUAACUUUGUACUUGAUUUUUCUACUCCCCCUUUUAUCCUUGCAUAAAAGAAGAAUUUUUAUUAGCUCUAAAAGGCUCUUUGGAUGCACCAUCGUUGGUCAUUACACAGUAUAUACCUCACUUUGGGAAAUUUGCCGUAUUGCUUGGUUUCACUUUGUUUGGUAGAUACAUAUAUAUGAAAACAUGGCUAUGAUUUCUGUUCAUUUUAACUCGAGUCUCCGGUUCUAUCUGCAGGUACUAAGGGCAUGUACAAUGCGGCGCUUAGCACAUGCGCUAGGGAUAGUAAUCCUGGCCGUUUUGAUCAAAUCCCUGCCGAUCCUAGGAUACAGCUUACAUCGGCUCUUACCCAUGCGCCGAUCUAAUAAUGAUCUGACUUUUUUCCUUCGUAUUGUCAUCAUGCUUUUUGUUCAUACUAGAAUGGUCCUCCUUGCUUGAUGCCUGAACCAUUACCAAAGAGUAUUACGUAGGAGGAGCUAGCCGAGCUAGCCAUUGAAUUAAUUACAGCGUGGCCAAUCCACUUUCGGUAUCUUGGGUGACUUCUGAUUCCUUACCUACUUGGAAAAUGGUGCUUUAAUAUACCACUCAUUACUCUGAAAUUAAUUAACUAAAAUAUUUUAUGCUUCCAUAGAUCUGCCUAAAAUUACCUUAUCACACAGUAGCUUGGCAUUUCCUACUAGCCGUGUCAGAAAGAUUAUUCUUUGCCUUCCAUCUGGUUAUGCCAUGGAAAUAGGAAUCGAUAGUUUCAUUGUCGUUCAAGCUCCAAGGUAGUUCUUUUGUUUUGACACUGCAUGCUUUGCUGCUCCGAUAUAUCCAUCAUAUUUUAAUUAUCGGUCACAAAAUAUAUUUGGGGUUGUAAUAGCUACACAUGAAAAUCAUGUAUAUUAUUUUUUGGAGAAGCCAUCUUUUUAAAAGCAAAUGGAAGUUAUGUCAAAAUUGAGCUCUGUAGUGUGGUCAAAGAUUGGUCUUUUUUAAUCUACCACUGAGAUGCUCUCCUUGUUAAAGGUAUCAACUUGUCAGUAUACCACCAGCUGAAGUAAGUUGAGAGUAACACAUCUCAUGAGGGCUAGCUAUUUAGAUCUUGCAUCCACAAAGACAUCAAAAAAUAUGAAAUAGAUGAAACUACAAUUUGGUAGCAAAUUGAACUGUAUUUCAUGGAGAACAAUAUUUAGUUGUGUCGCUUCAGGUGGUAAGAUAAGAUUCUUUUAGACCAUUUCACUUCCAAACUAAAAACGUUGAAUAUCUGUAGAAUGGUUCAUACUUUCUUUGUGUCUUUCAUUGGACUACAACCUUUUAAUUUGAAUCCUCUCUGAUGUGUGCAGACAUGGACUAUUUUCAAUGGGUUCCAAGUUCCGAAAUCAGCUCCUCUCUUGAUGUAUUGUUAUGCUAUUUCCGCACCAUUGUAAACAUUUUGAGUAGCUCUUAUCGAACAACAUAUCUCGCACUUUACACUGUUGGACCCUCUCUCAUGAUGAGUUCAGAAGUAAUUAUGUUAGACGUGGCUGCCGCUUGACAGUGAUUUAUAUUAUUGCUUGGCUAAAAAGGAUUAGAGGUACCUUCGUGGCACAUCCAAAGUUUGCUUGAAGUUUGGCAAGAACAGUGAGGGACUCGCUGGCUAUGUGGAUUUAGAUUUUGCUACCGACUUGGAUAGGAGAAGGUCCCUCACAGGUUAUAUGUUCACUGUUGGUGGAUGCGCUGUGAGUUAGAAGGCAACGUUACGACCUGUUGCUGCUCAAUCUACAACCGAAGCAGUAUAUGUGGCUAUUGCUGAAGCUUGCAAAGAGUCGGGUUGAUUGAAAUUUUUGUAUAUUGAGCUUUAUGAAGAUGAUUCUUGCAUUAACUUGUUUUGUGACAGUCAAAGUGCCAUAUCCAUUACUAAAGAUCAAAUGUUUCAUGAGAGGACAAAGCACAUUUAAUGUCAAGUACUAUUAUGUUCACGACAUUGUUGCACAAGGAGAUUGUUGAGAUUCAUGCUACAAGGUGGAAUUUAUCUCAAGGUGAAGUUUGUUAUAUUGUGAUCCAAAUUCAUACGAAAGGGAGGCUAAUUUCUGACGAGCGGAGCGAUGCCUGUCGCCUAUAUGUAUAUCUUGUAAACCGCCGGCUAGGGUUUAUCAGAUUAUAAGAUAACCCAUGGUGUUUGUAAACACCUCCUGAUAAAGUGAACUUUUGCUGGCUAGCGUCCGUGA
This is a long non-coding RNA of Lolium perenne, 7065 nucleotides long. RefSeq lists it as uncharacterized. The record is from RefSeq and is a predicted model, not a curated record. NCBI's taxonomy places the organism in Eukaryota, Viridiplantae, Streptophyta, Magnoliopsida, Poales, Poaceae.